Sorex araneus (European shrew) is the source of this 364-nucleotide long non-coding RNA. RefSeq lists it as uncharacterized. The record is from RefSeq and is a predicted model, not a curated record. The transcript has 3 exons. NCBI's taxonomy places the organism in Eukaryota, Metazoa, Chordata, Mammalia, Eulipotyphla, Soricidae.
GAAAAUAAUUACCCAGGGGAUUGUUUUGGCAGAAUGGAGCUACCAAGGAGUUUUCAGUAAAACAAGAACCUCUGUUCACAUGCAAGCUCGUGAUUGGUUUUGACCAAGAGAUUACAGUUAUCCUGCUGUCAUCACGUGGAAAAGCUUGACUUUGCCUCUUGCUGUCAGAAACCAAAUGGAGAAAAACAUCUUCAGGCAGCAUCUAACUCCAGACAGGGUCUGGAGCGAUAGCACAGCGGUUGGGCGUUCGCCUUUCAUGCGGCCGACCCGAGUUCGAUUCCUCCGCCCCCUCGGAGAUCCCGGCAAGCUACCGAGAGUAUCGAGCCCGAGAGGCAGAGCCUGGCCAACUACCCGUAGCGUAUUG